Molecule: transfer RNA, 73 nt
Filed under: Camelus bactrianus (Bactrian camel)
Lineage: Eukaryota; Metazoa; Chordata; Mammalia; Artiodactyla; Camelidae
Also listed under: 1 other name
Rfam family: tRNA
About the family: Transfer RNA (tRNA) molecules are approximately 80 nucleotides in length.
Source: Rfam by way of RNAcentral
AGGGGUAUAGCUCAAGUGGCAGAAUGCAUGCCUAGCAUGCACAAGGUUCUGGGUUCAAAUCCUAGUACCUCCA